CAGCUGUUCGCUGUAAGUCGAAAUCUGAUUGGCUCUCGUAAAUUUGUAUGUCCAAUCAAAUCAGCGCAUGUAAAACCAUUAUUAUUCUCAAGGAGAUUAUUCUCUUCCACACCAUCUCAUGCCAACCAAUUUUGGCAAAAUCUUGCGUGUUAUGCACAUGUCAUGAGAUUUAGGAAAAGGCUGGGUCUGAGUGGAUUAGAACUUGGAUUUGGAGUUUUCUUGGGCGUUCUUGGCGGCUUUUACAUUUGGAAGCCGAUUUUUGAAGAAAAAUUUGGACCGCGGAAAUCUCAGCGAACUCCGGCAUUAGAAACACAACACGAAAAUGUCAACACAACCAGCACCAGUUAGCUUCUUGCAAAAAUAUAAAAUCCCCUUCGGUGUACUUGGGGUGAUGGCCUGUUAUGUAGUGUAUUUUAAACUUUACAGACCGAUGUCUAUGAAGGCUAAACGGGAGGAAAAUGAAAAAAUAGCUGAAAUAAUUUUUCAGAAUAGUCUUGUUGAGAGCAAUCAAGCUCGUAGUGAGAGUGGAGGAUAUAAUUCGUAAUUUUUAUUUGUACAUAACUUGUAUGAAGAAAAAAAAUUAAAAAAAGGUCAUAAUUGAAAAACGCUAUUACUUUA
Long non-coding RNA from Neocloeon triangulifer, 618 nucleotides. RefSeq lists it as uncharacterized. The transcript is spliced from 3 exons. The record is from RefSeq and is a predicted model, not a curated record. Lineage: Eukaryota; Metazoa; Arthropoda; Insecta; Ephemeroptera; Baetidae.